GAAAAUUGUUUCUUGGGAAUUAGUUUAAUCAAAUGUUUUGUGAGUCUUGCAAAUUGGAAAGAAUAAUAUAAAAUUAGAUAUAUUGGUAAACUAGGUUAAUCACAGUCAUUCAUUUGUAGCAGAGAAUACAUAUCUAUCAAUUGAUGUUUUUUGAAGUCGGGAGAAACAUUCCAUCAAGCUAAUGUGUUUAAGGGUAUCAUAUCAGGCACAGACAGGUACUAGAAGUGAUAAAAAACAGAUAACCUGCAAUAAAAUGAUUUACAGAUGGGUCAUUAUCUUCUAUAGAGAGGUUACAAAGAUCAUAUUCUUUAUAAAAACAGAAUGCAAUUCUACAGAGCUAGGAGAAUUAUCUAAAUGCAUCUGAAUAUAUAAUGUUUUCUGAGUGACUGGUAGAAUUUAUCAAAGCAAAAUUUGUUAGCCUUCUUAUCAGCAGCAUAUUAUUUUAAGAUAUAGAAAAUUACUGUCCUGUAUUUUAAAUAUUCUUUAUUUUACCCACUUGAUAAAGUAAAGCUUGGGAAACAUUUUGCCUCUUAUAGUGUGAUCCUUUUAGUGCAUACAUUUAAAAUAUGCAUAAAAAUGUUAUCCACAAAUUAAAAAAAGGUGUAAAGUUUGAUGUUAGGGAGCUAUUAGUUUUCAUGACCUGUUUCAUACGGCGUGUGCCUGAAAUGCAUCUUUUCUAUCAGUGGUAAGACAGGAUGUCAUUUAUAUAUUUUCUCUUUCUUCUUCAGCUUGACAGAAAGGUAUACAGUCAAUUGUUUCUCCGGUCUCUCAUAGACUGACAUAAGGCAACAGGAAACUCUAAACCCUCAGAGUCACUCUGGUCUACUGAGACAGAUUAACUUUCUACAGAACCUUUCAUGUCACCAGUCCACUGCUGAGGGACUCACAUAGGCCACUACAGUAAGAACAUACUUUAUUUAACUUUAGUUCAAGUAAGUAUAGAUGUGCUCAUGUCAAAUUUUUAUGUACAUAAACAGACAUGUUUCAAUUUAUUUUUAGUAAACUCAUGUUCUGUUAUAGAUGCCUGUUCUCAUAACUUGCCCAGAAGCUCAAACAUGAAUUCUAGGAAAACCCUUUCGCACUUUGACAGAGUUGGGUGUUUUGAAUUCAACCAUGGAAGUAUCAUUUUGACUAAUGUUGGUAGAGAGAGGCUUGAAAGAUAACAUGUCACUGGUUUAUUUUCAUCACUUUGUAUCUACAUGCUUGCAUGCGUAAGUGCAUAUGCAUACAUACAUGCACCUUUGCAGGGUAUCAGUGUGAAAAGGGGAAUGAAAAAGGAUAGAAAGGAGGAUUCUAAUUUCACUUUUAGUUAUACCAGCAAAUAGCAAAUUUGUAGUAGCUUUAAUUGUAGUGUCAUCAGUGUAAUUGCUAGUUACUGCAGUGCUUGGUAGCCUUCUAUAGGCUCUAGUUCCAAUUACACUACGUGUUCUUUCCACCAUGGAUCUAUGGUGGAAAUUACUGCACCAAUGGCAUUUCUCUUUUAAAGUAACAAUGGAAUAUUUUCAUUUAUUUCAAAACAAGUUAGAUAUGAUCAGCUAUUCAUCUUGAUUUCAUAGGCUUAAAGGAUGGUUAACUGGGGUUGAGAUGGGAUAA
Molecule: long non-coding RNA, 1593 nt
Organism: Apteryx rowi (Okarito brown kiwi)
Lineage: Eukaryota; Metazoa; Chordata; Aves; Apterygiformes; Apterygidae
Source: Ensembl